GCGCAGCUUUGCCCCUUCCCCACGUCGCAUUCUCGCGCUCGACCGACUGGCACUCUCUUUCUCUCUCUCUCUCUCUCGCUCUCUCUUGUCCCCGAGUAAGUGACGCCCGACCCCGGGGGACACGUACUCACGGCGCAAUGGCAAACCGGGAUCGCGCGAUUGUGCGACUGAACAGACUAGCAUCACACCCGCCAAAAACUCUCAAGACGUAGAAAACCAAUACUAUUUUAUUCGCCUUCGAUGAGUCAUUUUUAUAUGCAUAUUUUGUUUUAAAUACAUCAUUCUUUCAUUUUGAUUUAUUUUCAUUCUCCAUUUUGUUUCCUAUAUUUCUUACAAUUUAACCUCAACAAUUUUUUAAACCGUUGAAAUUUGCACGUGCGUUCUACUCCAGACGCAGUUGAAUAUACAUGGGACGUAAAUAGCAUUAAUACUCGUCAGGUCAUUCUAGGUCACUGGCUAGUGUAAAAAAAAAGCAACGCACAAUAUAUUAACGGGGUCGUCGAGAAGUAUGGAUUAUUGUCGUUCAUACUCCAUGUUUACCUAUCUAUUGGUUAUGUUUGAAGCAUUUAUUUAUUUUCAACUUUCAAAAUAUAAAAUAAUACUCAUCAAGUGAAUAGAAAUCUUAUAAAUUGGAAUUGCAGUGAAAAAUAAACUUUAAAGAAUAUCACAAGAUUUAUUAAAAUGAUCAUCUAAUAAAAAUUAAUGAAAUGUUUUUUCAUUAAUACGUCAUAAUACGUAAAUUGGUUCGAGAAGUGACAUCACUACGUUCUCUGACAUCACGUUAAAACCACUGGCAACGAACACGAGCUGUGAACGUGAACUUUUAUCUCUCGGUAGAGAGGCAAGUGUAGAAAAAGAAAGGAAAUACUCACAACAAAGAAUAAGAAGAUAAAAUAGCUCCCUCCUAUAUAUUUCACACAUGAUUCAAGUGAUGUCCUUGGCCUACCGGAAGUAAUAUCAAGACUUUUAAAAAUGAUUGAAAGACAUAAGAGUGGAAGAAUCAUUUCUCAAAGAUGAAUGAAAAUGGAUGUAAUAUUGGUGGAAUUCAAGAAGAAGAUAAUAAAAUAAGCA
Long non-coding RNA from Chelonus insularis, 1071 nucleotides. RefSeq lists it as uncharacterized. The record is from RefSeq and is a predicted model, not a curated record. NCBI's taxonomy places the organism in Eukaryota, Metazoa, Arthropoda, Insecta, Hymenoptera, Braconidae. The transcript has 5 exons.